AUUGAACGCUGGCGGCGUGCUUAACACAUGCAAGUCGAACGCGAAAGGGACUUCGGUCCUGAGUAAAGUGGCGCACGGGUGAGUAACGCGUGGAUAAUCUGCCCUUAUGAUUGGAAUAACAGUUGGAAACGGCUGCUAAUACCGGAUACGCUCAAAAUGAACUUUUUGAGGAAAGAUGGCCUCUGCUUGCAUGCUAUCGCAUAAGGAUGAGUCCGCGUCCCAUUAGCUUGUUGGCGGGGUAACGGCCCACCAAGGCAACGAUGGGUAGCCGAUUGGAGGGGAUGAUCGGCCACACUGGAACUGAAACACGGUCCAGACUCCUACGGGAGGCAGCAGUGGGGAAUAUUGCGCGAUGGGCGAAAGCCUGACGCAGCGACGCCGCGUGAGGGAUGAAGGUUUUCGGAUCGUAAACCUCUGUCAGAAGGGAAGAAACUACGUUGUGCUAAUCAGCAGCGUACUGACGGUACCUUCAAAGGAAGCACCGGCUAACUCCGUGCCAGCCGCCGCCGUAA
RNAcentral lists this ribosomal RNA (512 nucleotides) under uncultured bacterium. RNAcentral describes it as "partial 16S ribosomal RNA". It matches the Rfam family "Bacterial small subunit ribosomal RNA", at positions 30 to 523 of the family's 1533-position model. The record is from RNAcentral.